Molecule: ribosomal RNA, 338 nt
Filed under: uncultured Anoxybacillus sp.
Lineage: Bacteria; Bacillati; Bacillota; Bacilli; Caryophanales; Anoxybacillaceae
Description: bacterial SSU rRNA
Rfam family: Bacterial small subunit ribosomal RNA
Source: RNAcentral
GGCAUGGUUGUCGUCAGCUCGUGUCGUGAGAUGUUGGGUUAAGUCCCGCAACGAGCGCAACCCUCGACCUUAGUUGCCAGCAUUCAGUUGGCACUCUAAGGUGACUGCCGGCUAAAAGUCGGAGGAAGGUGGGGAUGACGUCAAAUCAUCAUGCCCCUUAUGACCUGGGCUACACACGUGCUACAAUGGGCGGUACAAAGGGUCGCGAACCCGCGAGGGGGAGCCAAUCCCAAAAAGCCGCUCUCAGUUCGGAUUGCAGGCUGCAACUCGCCUGCAUGAAGCCGGAAUCGCUAGUAAUCGCGGAUCAGCAUGCCGCGGUGAAUACGUUCCCGGGCCUU